CCAUCGGUGGUUCAGUGGUAGAAUGCUCGCCUGCCUCGCGGUCGGCCCGGGUUCGAUUCCCGGCCGAUGCU
This 71-nucleotide transfer RNA is filed under the name Cordylochernes scorpioides. RNAcentral describes it as "tRNA-Gly". It matches the Rfam family "tRNA". Rfam says of the family: Transfer RNA (tRNA) molecules are approximately 80 nucleotides in length. The record is from RNAcentral. Lineage: Eukaryota; Metazoa; Arthropoda; Arachnida; Pseudoscorpiones; Chernetidae.